AGAAUCAACGCUGGCGGCGUGCCUAACACAUGCAAGUCGCACGAGAAAGGGGCUUCGGCCCUGAGUAAAGUGGCGCACGGGUGAGUAACACGUGAAUAAUCUACCUCUGAGUGGGGAAUAACUGAGAGAAAUCUUAGCUAAUACCGCAUAAUACUUACGAGUCAAAGCAGCAAUGCGCUUGGAGAGGAGUUCGCGGCCGAUUAGUUAGUUGGCGGGUAAUGGCCCACCAAGACGAUGAUCGGUA
Molecule: ribosomal RNA, 244 nt
Filed under: uncultured bacterium
Lineage: Bacteria
Description: partial small subunit ribosomal RNA
Rfam family: Bacterial small subunit ribosomal RNA
Source: RNAcentral